RNAcentral lists this ribosomal RNA (292 nucleotides) under uncultured Bacillus sp. Its description in RNAcentral is "partial 16S ribosomal RNA". It matches the Rfam family "Bacterial small subunit ribosomal RNA", at positions 505 to 796 of the family's 1533-position model. The record is from RNAcentral. Lineage: Bacteria; Bacillati; Bacillota; Bacilli; Caryophanales; Bacillaceae.
GUGCCAGCAGCCGCGGUAAUACGUAGGUGGCAAGCGUUGUCCGGAAUUAUUGGGCGUAAAGCGCGCGCAGGCGGCUUCUUAAGUCUGAUGUGAAAUCUCGCGGCUCAACCGUGAGCGGUCAUUGGAAACUGGGGAGCUUGAGUACAGAAGAGGAGAGCGGAAUUCCACGUGUAGCGGUGAAAUGCGUAGAGAUGUGGAGGAACACCAGUGGCGAAGGCGGCUCUCUGGUCUGUAACUGACGCUGAGGCGCGAAAGCGUGGGUAGCGAACAGGAUUAGAAACCCUUGUAGUCC